This 74-nucleotide transfer RNA is filed under the name Nitrososphaerota archaeon. RNAcentral describes it as "Thaumarchaeota archaeon (marine metagenome) tRNA-Lys". It matches the Rfam family "tRNA". Rfam says of the family: Transfer RNA (tRNA) molecules are approximately 80 nucleotides in length. Their secondary structure includes four short double-helical elements and three loops (D, anti-codon, and T loops). Further hydrogen bonds mediate the characteristic L-shaped molecular structure. tRNAs have two regions of fundamental functional importance: the anti-codon, which is responsible for specific mRNA codon recognition, and the 3' end, to which the tRNAs corresponding amino acid is attached (by aminoacyl-tRNA synthetases). tRNAs cope with the degeneracy of the genetic code in two manners: having more than one tRNA (with a specific anti-codon) for a particular amino acid; and 'wobble' base-pairing, i.e. permitting non-standard base-pairing at the 3rd anti-codon position. Lineage: Archaea; Thermoproteati; Nitrososphaerota. The record is from RNAcentral.
GGGUCUGUGGCUCAGCCAGGCAGAGCGACUGGCUCUUAACCAGUAAGUCGUGGGUUCAAAUCCCACCAGACCCG